UUGAAAAAAGGUAAUUUCAUGUGUGAGCGCCUUUACCUUAGAUGCACCACUCUACGCGAACUACUUUAUUCAUUAAACAUAGCAGAAGAAAAAGAACACAGCUGAGAAACUGACGAGCAGAAGAAAAACGCAGCUGAGGAAACUGAAGAAAUCGAUAAAAGUUGUUACUGCAAUGUCAGCAUCACAUCUUAGAUUCAAACAUG
This 203-nucleotide long non-coding RNA is filed under the name Daucus carota (carrot). RNAcentral describes it as "long non-coding RNA (DCAR_LNC001173)". Lineage: Eukaryota; Viridiplantae; Streptophyta; Magnoliopsida; Apiales; Apiaceae. The record is from RNAcentral.